CGGGAAAAGCCGCAGCUACCGCGGUAGGAGACCCCGGCCCCGGGCGGUGGCCCCAUGGCGCGCGCGCUCCGCGGUUCCCUAGGGCCCGUGACACGCGCCCUCCUAGCUGGCGGCAGGACCUAGGCCUUGACCAGCUAACGCACUUUCAUAAGCAUGGAGUGAUUGGAACGAGGAACUGGACGCCUGGGAAUCCCACGUGACAAGUCUGAAAGUCACCUCUCUCAGAAUAUCUAAAACACCAAACUGGUUUUCCAAGCCCUGCUGAAAUAUGCUAUCAACCAGUUUAUCCAAGAGGAAGUUGGAGGAUGAGUGGUCUAGUGCUUAUUCAGCGUUGGAAAUUUUUGUCUGUGAAACACCUAUAUUAGACACGUGGAAGUGUAUUGAACAUGAAAAUUCCUGGAUCCCACCCCCAGUCAUCCUGAAUCAGAAUCAGAGGAAAAUAUCUAGAAAUUCACAUUUUAAAUAAGUUCUCCAGGUAAUUCUUAUGUAUUUUACAAUUUAAAAACUUUAAAUCAGACAAAUUGUAUAUGAUGACUAGUAUAAGAUCUAGUUUUAAUUUUGACGGAUUAGCUGCUGUCAUUUUAUUCAACCUCUUUGUUCAACUUCCAAGCUAUAAAAGUUUGAUUUUUAUUUGUAAUUUAGGUGGUACUCUGAACACUUUUUAAGUAUCUUAAAAACAAAAAGUUUUCACAGGUGCUGAUUUUACAACAGCUAAUAAAUAUAUAUCCCCAGGAAAUAAAUAAAAAUAAAAACCUCUCUGGGACUUUUUCUUCAUUUACACAAUAAAAGAGGUUGGAUUAGAAUGUAUCUAUCAAGUCUCUUCUAGAUCUGACAUGUUAGAACUCUAUGAAAAU
Long non-coding RNA from Myotis myotis, 854 nucleotides. RefSeq lists it as uncharacterized. Lineage: Eukaryota; Metazoa; Chordata; Mammalia; Chiroptera; Vespertilionidae. The record is from RefSeq and is a predicted model, not a curated record. The transcript is spliced from 3 exons.